AUUGAACGCUGGCGGCAUGCUUUACACAUGCAAGUCGAACGCGAAAGCGGGGGCAACCCUGCCGGUAGAGUGGCGAACGGGUGAGUAACACAUCGGAACGUAUCCUCGCGUGGGGGACGAACCAGUCGAAAGACGGGCUAAUACCGCAUACGCUGGAGACAGGAAAGCAGGGGACCCGCAAGGGCCUUGUGCGCAUGGAGCGGCCGAUGUCUGAUUAGCUAGUUGGUGGGGAAAGGCUCACCAAGGCGACGAUCAGUAGCUGGUCUGAGAGGAUGAUCAGCCACACUGGGACUGAGACACGGCCCAGACUCCUACGGGAGGCAGCAGUGGGAAUUUUGACAAUGGGGGCAACCCUGAUCCAGCCAUGCCGCGUGAGGGAAGAAGGCC
This 387-nucleotide ribosomal RNA is filed under the name uncultured bacterium. RNAcentral's name for it is "partial 16S ribosomal RNA". It matches the Rfam family "Bacterial small subunit ribosomal RNA", at positions 29 to 416 of the family's 1533-position model. The record is from RNAcentral.